UUGGAGGAUUUAAAGACUUCAACUUGCAUACUUGGAAGAUUUGAAGACUUCAUCUUGCAUACUUGGAGGAUUUGAAGACUUCAACU
This is a non-coding RNA of Solanum tuberosum (potato), 86 nucleotides long. The record is from Rfam. Lineage: Eukaryota; Viridiplantae; Streptophyta; Magnoliopsida; Solanales; Solanaceae.